RNAcentral lists this ribosomal RNA (421 nucleotides) under uncultured bacterium. RNAcentral describes it as "bacterial SSU rRNA". It matches the Rfam family "Bacterial small subunit ribosomal RNA", at positions 54 to 457 of the family's 1533-position model. The record is from RNAcentral.
CAUGCAAGUCGUACGAGAAAUCCUGGGCAACUGGGAGAGUAAAGUGGCGCACGGGUGAGUAACGCGUGGGUAACCUACCCUUGAAUUGGGGAUAACUCCUCGAAAGGGGAGUUAAUACCGAAUAAUAUUCCAAUUCCUCCGGGAGUUGGAAUCAAAGGUGGCCUCUACAUGUAAGCUAUCGUUUAAGGAUGGGCCCGCGUACCAUUAGCUAGUUGGUAGGGUAAUGGCCUACCAAGGCAACGAUGGUUAGCUGGUCUGAGAGGAUGGCCAGCCACACUGGAACUGAGACACGGUCCAGACUCCUACGGGAGGCAGCAGUGAGGAAUCUUGCGCAAUGGGGGAAACCCUGACGCAGCAACGCCGCGUGGGUGAUGAAGGCCUUCGGGUCGUAAAACCCUUUUCUGGGGGAAGAGAGAGGACG